GACGAACGCUGGCGGCGUGCUUAACACAUGCAAGUCGAACGGAAAGGCCCUGCUUUUGUGGGGUGCUCGAGUGGCGAACGGGUGAGUAACACGUGAGUAACCUGCCCUUGACUUUGGGAUAACUUCAGGAAACUGGGGCUAAUACCGGAUAGGAGCUCCUGCUGCAUGGUGGGGGUUGGAAAGUUUCGGCGGUUGGGGCUGGACUCGCGGCUUAUCAGCUUGUUGGUGGGGUAGUGGCUUACCAAGGCUUUGACGGGUAGCCGGCCUGAGAGGGUGACCGGCCACAUUGGGACUGAGAUACGGCCCAGACUCCUACGGGAGGCAGCAGUGGGGAAUAUUGCACAAUGGGCGGAAGCCUGAUGCAGCAACGCCGCGUGCGGGAUGACGGGCUUCGGGUUGUAAACCGCUUUCGCCUGUGACGAAGCGUGAGUGACGGUAAUGGGUAAAGAAGCACCGGCUAACUACGUG
RNAcentral lists this ribosomal RNA (468 nucleotides) under uncultured bacterium. Its description in RNAcentral is "partial 16S ribosomal RNA". It matches the Rfam family "Bacterial small subunit ribosomal RNA", at positions 28 to 507 of the family's 1533-position model. The record is from RNAcentral.